GACGAACGCUGGCGGCGUGCUUAACACAUGCAAGUCGAACGGAAAGGCCUGCUUUCCCUUGUGGAUUGCGGGUACUCGAGUGGCGAACGGGUGAGUAACACGUGAGUGAUCUGCCCCCAACUUGGGUAUAAGCCUGGGAAACUGGGUCUAAUUCCCGAUAGGACUGCAGGGUGGUGCCUGUGGUGGAAAACGAUUUUCUAGUGGUUGGGGAUGAGCUCGCGGCCUAUCAGCUUGUUGGUGGGGUAAUGGCCUACCAAGGCGGCGACGGGUAGCCGGCCUGAGAGGGUUGACGGCCACAUUGGGACUGAGAUACGGCCCAGACUCCUACGGGAGGCAGCAGUGGGGAAUAUUGCACAAUGGGCGGAAGCCUGAUGCAGCGACGCCGCGUGGGGGAUGACGGCCUUCGGGUUGUAAACUCCUUUCGACCGCGAGGAAGCCACCUGGUUGGAAGGGUGGUGACGGUAGUGGUAGAAGAAGCACCGGCUAACUACGUG
RNAcentral lists this ribosomal RNA (494 nucleotides) under uncultured bacterium. Its description in RNAcentral is "partial 16S ribosomal RNA". It matches the Rfam family "Bacterial small subunit ribosomal RNA", at positions 28 to 507 of the family's 1533-position model. The record is from RNAcentral.